UAGGGAAUCUUCCGCAAUGGGCGAAAGCCUGACGGAGCAACGCCGCGUGAGCGAAGAAGGCCUUCGGGUCGUAAAGCUCUGUUGUCAGGGAAGAACAAGUACCGGAGUAACUGCCGGUACCUUGACGGUACCUGACCAGAAAGCCCCGGCUAACUACGUG
RNAcentral lists this ribosomal RNA (160 nucleotides) under uncultured bacterium. Its description in RNAcentral is "partial 16S rRNA". It matches the Rfam family "Bacterial small subunit ribosomal RNA", at positions 355 to 507 of the family's 1533-position model. The record is from RNAcentral. RNAcentral also lists the same sequence under 1 other name.